GCUGGGUGCAGUGAUGCAUACCUGUAAUCCCAGCUACUCAGGAGGCUGAGGUAGGAAGAUUGCAACUUCAAGGCUGGUCUGGAUAAUAUAGUGAGACUCUGUCUCAA
Molecule: small RNA, 107 nt
Filed under: Marmota monax (woodchuck)
Lineage: Eukaryota; Metazoa; Chordata; Mammalia; Rodentia; Sciuridae
Source: RNAcentral